RNAcentral lists this ribosomal RNA (437 nucleotides) under Wolbachia endosymbiont of Aphis gossypii. RNAcentral describes it as "bacterial SSU rRNA". It matches the Rfam family "Bacterial small subunit ribosomal RNA", at positions 992 to 1428 of the family's 1533-position model. The record is from RNAcentral. Lineage: Bacteria; Pseudomonadati; Pseudomonadota; Alphaproteobacteria; Rickettsiales; Anaplasmataceae.
CAUACCUAUUCGAAGGGAUAGGGUCGGUUUGGCCGGAUUUCACACAGGUGUCGCAUGGCUGUCGUCAGCUCGUGUCGUGAGGUGUUGGGUUAAGUCCCGCAACGAGCGCAACCCUCAUCCUUAGUUACCAUCAGGUUAUGCUGGGGACUUUAAGGAAACUGCCAGUGAUAAACUGGAGGAAGGUGGGGAUGAUGUCAAGUCAUCAUGGCCCUUAUGGAGUGGGCUACACACGUGCUACAAUGGUGAUUACAAUGGGCUGCAAGGUCGCAAGGCUGAGCUAAUCCUAAAAAAUCAUCUCAGUUCGGAUCGUUCUCUGUAACUCGAGAGCAUGAAGUUGGAAUCGCUAGUAAUCGUGGAUCGGCAUGCCACGGUGAAUACGUUCUCGGGUCUUGUACACACUGCCCGUCACGCCAUGGGAAUUGGUUUCACUCGAAGCU